This 5156-nucleotide long non-coding RNA is filed under the name Brassica napus (rape). RNAcentral's name for it is "long non-coding RNA (BNAP_LNC014902)". The record is from RNAcentral. Lineage: Eukaryota; Viridiplantae; Streptophyta; Magnoliopsida; Brassicales; Brassicaceae.
UUCUACGCUGCAGAGGUGCUGCUAGCGCUCGAGUAUCUCCACAUGCUCGGCGUUGUCUACAGAGACUUGAAACCCGAGAACGUCCUCGUCCGAGACGACGGUCACAUAAUGCUCUCAGACUUCGACCUCUCCCUAAGAUGCGCGGUUUCACCAACCCUGAUCAAAACCUUCGACUCCGACCCCUCAAAACGCGGCGCCUUCUGCGUCCAACCCGCUUGCAUAGAGCCCACAUCCUCUUGCAUCAUCCAACCCUCGUGCUUCCUACCGCGUCGCAUCUUCCCUACCAAAAAGAACAAGACUCGUAAAACACAAACAGAUUUCUUCAAAUCACAUCACUCGGGAGGAGGUUCUCUCCCCGAGCUGGUGGCCGAGCCCAACACGAGGUCCAUGUCCUUCGUUGGCACGCACGAGUACUUAGCUCCGGAGAUCAUCAAGGGAGAAGGACACGGAAGCGCGGUGGAUUGGUGGACGUUUGGUAUCUUUGUUCACGAGCUUUUGUACGGUAAGACGCCGUUUAAAGGAUCAGGGAACAGAGCUACUCUGUUUAAUGUGGUGGGAGAGCAGUUGAAGUUCCCUGAGUCGCCGGCCACUAGCUACGCGGGGAGGGACUUGGUUCAGGCGUUGCUGGUGAAAGAUCCGAAGAGUAGGUUGGGGACGAAGAGAGGAGCGACGGAGAUAAAGCAGCAUCCGUUUUUCGAAGGAGUGAACUGGGCGUUGAUAAGGUGUAGUACUCCUCCUGAAGUGCCGAGGCAGAUGGAGGUAGAGCCGCCGCCGAAGUAUGGACCGAUUGAUCCUGUUGGGUUUGGUAGUAACAGCAAGAGGAUGAUGGGACCGCCACCUGUAUCAGCGGCAGCAGCAGGAGGAGGAGGAGGAGAUGCAAAAGCUGGUGGGAAGUUUCUAGACUUUGAGUUUUUCUGAAGGCUUUGUUUUUUUCCCUCAGAAGAGUUUGUGUUUGGUUGCUUAAUUAGUAGUUAUAGUCUUCUUAUGUCAAGGGGGUUUAAUAGAUCAGAGUGGAGGGGGUUAGGAGGUUAAAUCUGUCUUCCAUUUGAACCAAAACUUUUGUAAGGACAUGGAAAGCUCCAAGUCUUAAGAAAAUCUCCUUUGGUACUACUACUAUUACUACUGCUGUGUUUGUCGGAAUCUCUUUUUCUUUUGAGUCAAUGGAUUGUUGUCACUGCCAUGCAUGUUAUGGUGGUCCAAGAAGAAACCCUAUGUUCUUCAGACAAAGAAGAGAAAUGAUCAUGUUGUCAGAUUAGGUGAAUGGUAAAUGGUCUACUUUUACUAUAUGCAUUAUUGAUAUAUAUAUAUAUAUAUGUAUUAAUCAAAUUACUGUUUUGUGCGUUUCUGUAAAAAAAAAAAAUUUGAACUGAUACACCCCAAUUUAAAUAAUAUAUUUUCUGGACUAGUAUUCAAACAAUGAGUUUUCUGUUGAAAGGAAUCAAUGCUAAACAUAGUUAUAAAGAUAUAUUGUAGGAGUACAUUUUAAUAGAUGAUUUAGUCUUUUAUGGUGUGUCCCUUUCCAGUCCCAAACAAGUGUACUGUUGUUGCCUUUCCUCAUUGUCUAUAAGACUACUAAUUUGUUGAGCUGAACUUUGGUCCCAUUCCACUCUCCUUGAUUUUGACUGAACCAACCAUGACGGGCGUUUCAUAAGGCGUAUCAAUUUAUGGGCCUUUGGCCCAAUAUUGUAUCACAGUUUUUUUAGAUAGUUUGUUUCGUUCCGCCGUUCCCUUGCGUAAAAUGCCAACGUCUAUUUAAGUAAAGAAUUACUCAAAUAGAAUUAUUUAAAUGUUUUUCCUGUAUUGGUAUAGAGUGAUGUUACAAAGAAAUGAACCAAUGGAUUGAGUAAAACGAAAGUCAAUUAACAAAGCGUGUCUUUGACGUAUGACUUUGCCUUUGCCUUUCUACGUCGGGCUUAAUAGUAUUUUAGAACAUUCGUCGGCACGUGAAAAUUGUGUUCUUUAAUAUUAGCUAAUAUUUUCUUUAGAGGGGUAAUGAUUAUUAUUUUUUAAAUCCAGAGAGCUUAUGUCUUAUUCCCCUUGGAGCAUCUCCAACCCCUAGUUAUUUUCACCUCUAUAUGCUAUAAUAGAAGUAAAAGUGUUCUAUCUCAUCUCUAUUUUCACCUCUAAAAUAGAGAUUACUAUUUUUUCCUCUAUUUAUAGAGUCAUACUUUUUUAUUUUCAAAAUAGUCCUUUAACUUUCAAUUUUUUAUAGUUGUAACCAAAAUAAUUAUAUUUAUAGAGAAAUACAGCUUUUGUAGGAAUAUAAUAACAUUUUUUAUUUACAUAAUAGUCUUUUAACAAAACUUUAGUUUAAAAAAGUUCAUAAGUUUAUGAAAAUAUUUUAAAAGUUAAAAAUAAAUAGGGUUAGUUAUCAAUUUUUAUAAACAAAAUGUAUCUUUUGUAAAAUUAAAAUAGAAUCUUUUGANNNNNNNNNNNNNNNNNNNNNNNNNNNNNNNNNNNNNNNNNNNNNNNNNNNNNNNNNNNNNNNNNNNNNNNNNNNNNNNNNNNNNNNNNNNNNNNNNNNNNNNNNNNNNNNNNNNNNNNNNNNNNNNNNNNNNNNNNNNNNNNNNNNNNNNNNNNNNNNNNNNNNNNNNNNNNNNNNNNNNNNNNNNNNNNNNNNNNNNNNNNNNNNNNNNNNNNNNNNNNNNNNNNNNNNNNNNNNNNNNNNNNNNNUUUUCUAAAUGGGUUUUGUAAAUGAAAAGUUAAAAAUGAAAUCUUCAAUCCCUAUGGUUGUUAUCGAGCAAUGGAGGGAUAUAAUACAGACAUACACAAACUCGUGUUCUGUAUCUUUGUCUCGAAACCAAAAAAAUUAGCCCUGAGGGUUUAUUACCAAAUCACGCGUUAUAUUUAUUCUCAGACAAGAUGGUCCCAUAUUUUGUUUGAUUGAUUUAGUUAAACAUGUUUUUUUUAUAAGGUAUAAAGAGAUUUGUUUUUGGAGUGUUGAAGAUCUCGUAUGAAUGCUGGAUAUGGAAAGAGUUGGUGAGCUUAGUAAAGGUCCUGUCUCAAGAAGACAAUACCUAGACUUUGAAAAUAGAGAUAACGGUAUGCAUCUCGAGUCUCUGAGGGAACGAGCUGCUCGUUACAAGGGAGGAGGAAGACCAGUGAAUCCCACUACGACGUUAGGGAGAGAGCUAAGCCAAGUUCUCAAUGUACACAGAGACGAGAUGAUGAUGAUUGGUGGUGAUAUGAAUGAUUUUCAGGAGUUUGAGCCUGUGGUGAGGCCAACAACGAUGGAUUCAAAGUACCCUUUGCUGGAGAUCGACGAGGUAGGUGGUGGUGGUGGUGGUGAUGAAGCUGGCUCCAGCUCGUUCCGCGGUGUUAGCCAUCCUCCAGAGCCUGACGACAUGGAUCUCAUAACAACUGUUUAUGUCCCUAGCUCCACUAAAGGACCUUUCCUCGAGGAUCUCUCCCUCUGCGUCCCUGAGCCUGCCACAUCUAUGGCUCGUGCCUCUCAGAACACAGACAACUCUCUCCCGCCGCAAGAUUCAGACAAGGAAUGCGUUUGGGACGCGAGCCCACACAACAGCAGCGUGGAAAGCAUAAACUUCGCAAGGGCCAUGAGUAUGGCCAACAGCACUUCCGCUGAUCAGCAGAGGAACGAUGUCGUGCUCAGCAUGGACAAGAACUACAUUGAUAACAGGAGCAUCAACAUGGUGUUCGAUUCGUUCGAGAGCAGAGCGAGCGACAGCAGCUGCUUGAGCGAAGAGAGCAGCUGGAGCAACUUCACGGGGAGUCUCAACAAGCCGCACAAAGGGAACGAUCCGAGGUGGAACGCUAUUUUAGCCGUCAGGACGCGGGACGGUGUGCUAGGGAUGAGCCAUUUCAAGCUGCUGAAGCGGUUGGGGUGUGGUGAUAUAGGGAGUGUGUAUCUGGCGGAGCUGAGUGGGACCAGGUGUCAUUUCGCUGUGAAGGUGAUGGAUAAAGCUUCUCUUGAGAAUAGGAAGAAGCUGAAUAGGGCUCAGACUGAGAGGGAGAUUCUGCAGCUGUUGGAUCAUCCGUUUCUGCCGACGUUGUAUACUCAUUUUGAGACGGAUAGGUUCUCUUGUUUGGUUAUGGAGUAUUGUCCUGGUGGUGAUUUGCAUACUUUGAGGCAGCGCCAGCCUGGGAAGCAUUUCUCUGAGUAUGCUGCUAGGUAUGUCUUCGUCUCUCUGUUCCAAAACAAGGCAUUAGCAUUCGGUUUUUGGUUCGAAAAUCACGGUUUUUGUUUGGUUCUAGAAAUUUAGGAACCCUUGGCUAUCUAUAAAAUUCUAUGUAGUUUUGGUUCAGUUAUUUUGGUUUGGGUAGUAGAGUUGGGAACCGGCUCAUAUCUAGGGAGAAAAAUUGGGACUAGUUUGGUUCCGAUCUGGUUUCGUUUUUUGGGUAAUUUUGGAUAAUAUGGGUAAAAAUAUUGGAUAAUUGGGGGUUUCAAUUUAAUUAUCGGAUAAUUGGGAUUAUUUGGAUAAAAAUAUUGGGUAGUUUGGAUAAAAAACUAUCCAGGUAAUUUGAAUAAUUCGGUUUUGAAAGUAUUUUAAGAUAUUUGGUUAUUUGAAAAUUUAAUAUAAUUGAUAUAUUUAGGUAUAUAAUCUAUAUUUUUAAAAUUCGGGUAUCCAUUAUGUUCUCAGUUUCGUUCCGGUUCGGUUUUGUUUUUUCAGUCUGGUAUAGAUCUGUUUGGAUAUUCAUCAAAUUCGGUUUGAUUUCAGUUUUUUCGGUCCGGCACGGUUUGGUUCCUCUGUUCCGGUUCAAAUUUAUAUAUUUUCACGGUUUGAUUCAUAGUUCCAACGUUACCAGAGCUAAGCUAAGUUUCAUUUCAUUCACUGUGAUGACUCACUUUCUUUAUACGUUUCCUUUUUUUUUGGGCAGGUUCUACGCUGCAGAGGUGCUGCUAGCGCUCGAGUAUCUCCACAUGCUCGGCGUUGUCUACAGAGACUUGAAACCCGAGAACGUCCUCGUCCGAGACGACGGUCACAUAAUGCUCUCAGACUUCGACCUCUCCCUAAGAUGCGCGGUUUCACCAACCCUGAUCAAAACCUUCGACUCCGACCCCUCAAAACGCGGCGCCUUCUGCGUCCAACCCGCUUGCAUAGAGCCCACAUCCUCUUGCAUCAUCCAACCCUCGUGCUUCCUACCGCGUCGCAUCUUCCCUACCAAAAAGAACAAGACUCGUAAAACACAAACAG